This 423-nucleotide ribosomal RNA is filed under the name Triticum aestivum (bread wheat). RNAcentral describes it as "partial small subunit ribosomal RNA". The record is from RNAcentral. Lineage: Eukaryota; Viridiplantae; Streptophyta; Magnoliopsida; Poales; Poaceae.
AUGGGGAUCCGGCCUCCUCCUCGCCGCUGCCGCAGGCGUCGAACCACCCUGUCCCCAAUGUUUGCGAAGUGCUUCUUGCAGAGGAAGCUGCACCGGGUCUUGCCCCACCCCUCUCUCACUCUAUCCCGUCAGAUUUGGAGUCAAUCAGACCAUCUUCGCCGGGGCUGGCGGGCAGAGUUUUCUUCUGGCACUGACGUGGCCGUGUUGGUGAUUAUGUUUGUCUGGAUGUUGCUGCAGGGAGGAGGGGGAGAGAAAGGAGGUGGUGGAGGAGGAGGAGGGGCGGCCAGCGAUGUGGCCCAGCUACGCGCAGAUCGCGCUCCACUACAGCGUCCCCUACGCCGCCUCUGUCAUGGAGUUCGACCCCGUGCAGCGGCUCCUCGCCGUCGGGAUGCUGGAUGGGAGGAUCAAAAUCUUUGGGGGUGA